Molecule: ribosomal RNA, 485 nt
Filed under: Ophiostoma brunneum
Lineage: Eukaryota; Fungi; Ascomycota; Sordariomycetes; Ophiostomatales; Ophiostomataceae
Description: SSU rRNA
Rfam family: Eukaryotic small subunit ribosomal RNA
Source: RNAcentral
GGCUACUACAUCCAAGGAAGGCAGCAGGCGCGCAAAUUACCCAAUCCCGACGCGGGGAGGUAGUGACAAUAAAUACUGAUACAGGGCUCUUUUGGGUCUUGUAAUUGGAAUGAGUACAAUUUAAUUCCCUUAACGAGGAACAAUUGGAGGGCAAGUCUGGUGCCAGCAGCCGCGGUAAUUCCAGCUCCAAUAGCGUAUAUUAAAGUUGUUGCAGUUAAAAAGCUCGUAGUUGAACCUUGGGCCUGGCUGGCCGGUCCGCCUCACCGCGUGCACUGGUCCGGCCGGGUCUUUCCCUCUGGGGAGCCGCAUGCCCUUCACUGGGCGUGUCGGGGAACCAGGACAUUUACUUUGAAAAAAUUAGAGUGUUCAAAGCAGGCUUAUGCUCGAAUACAUUAGCAUGGAAUAAUAGAAUAGGACGCGCGGUUCUAUUUUGUUGGUUUCUAGGACCGCCGUAAUGAUUAAUAGGGACAGUCGGGGGCAUCAGU